Molecule: ribosomal RNA, 471 nt
Filed under: uncultured Planctomycetota bacterium
Lineage: Bacteria; Pseudomonadati; Planctomycetota
Description: bacterial SSU rRNA
Rfam family: Bacterial small subunit ribosomal RNA
Source: RNAcentral
UGGAUGAAAGCCCCGAGCAAUCGGGGUUGAUCUAUGCCAGGAAAAGUCACGGCUAACUCUGUGCCAGCAGCCGCGGUAAGACAGAGGUGGCGAGCGUUGUUCGGUGUCACUGGGCUUAAAGCGUGUGUAGGCGGCCUGACCAGUCCGUUGUGAAAUCCCCCGGCUUAACCGGGGAACUGCUUCGGAUACUAUCGGGCUUGAGGCAGGUAUGGGUGCGGGGAACUGUUGGUGGAGCGGUGGAAUGCGUAGAUAUCAACAGGAACGCCGGCGGUGAAGACGCUGCACUGGGCCUGUCCUGACGCUGAGACACGAAAGCGUGGGCAUAAAACGGGAUUAGAUACCCCGGUAUUCCACGCCCUAAACGAUGUCAACUAGGCUGGGGAGGUUCUGACGCCGCCCCGGCCGAAGCAAAAGUGUUAAGUUGACCGCCUGGGGAGUACGGUCGCAAGGCUAAAACUCAAAGGAAUUGAC